GAGUCUGACAGGAGAAACUCCAGUGGCUGUGGCCCUUGGGAGGCAGCAGCAGCAGCCCAGGGGUCUGACAGCCAGGUGUAUCUGUCACCAUCCCGCCUGCAGGACAGCAGAGAGAGCCAUCAUCAAGGACUCCAUGAUGGUCUAGCUGCGCUUGAGGGAUGGAACCCAGGGCCCUGUCUGUGCUAGACAGGUGCCCUCCCACGGAGCCACCACACACCCAGCCCGUCUUUCCCAUCCCUUCCUGUUCAUCUUCUGUCUCUACAUUUAUUUCGUGUUUUUAGUAGACACUGUUUACUUGGAUGAGAUCUAGUUAUUUAAAUAUAUCAGAAUAAUUAUUCAGAUUUCUGGCCAAGUGAAACAAAACAAAACAAAAUUAAAAAGAAAUUAACAGAA
Mastomys coucha (southern multimammate mouse) is the source of this 393-nucleotide long non-coding RNA. RefSeq lists it as uncharacterized. The record is from RefSeq and is a predicted model, not a curated record. The transcript has 2 exons. NCBI's taxonomy places the organism in Eukaryota, Metazoa, Chordata, Mammalia, Rodentia, Muridae.